AAAUUGAAGAGUUUGAUCAUGGCUCAGAUUGAACGCUGGCGGCAGGCCUAACACAUGCAAGUCGAACGGUAACAGGAAGCAGCUUGCUGCUUUGCUGACGAGUGGCGGACGGGUGAGUAAUGUCUGGGAAACUGCCUGAUGGAGGGGGAUAACUACUGGAAACGGUGGCUAAUACCGCAUAACGUCGCAAGACCAAAGAGGGGGACCUUCGGGCCUCUUGCCAUCAGAUGUGCCCAGAUGGGAUUAGCUUGUUGGUGAGGUAACGG
Molecule: ribosomal RNA, 266 nt
Filed under: Salmonella enterica
Lineage: Bacteria; Pseudomonadati; Pseudomonadota; Gammaproteobacteria; Enterobacterales; Enterobacteriaceae
Also listed under: 5 other names
Description: partial 16S ribosomal RNA
Rfam family: Bacterial small subunit ribosomal RNA
Source: RNAcentral